Long non-coding RNA from Papaver somniferum (opium poppy), 838 nucleotides. RefSeq lists it as uncharacterized. The transcript is spliced from 2 exons. The record is from RefSeq and is a predicted model, not a curated record. Lineage: Eukaryota; Viridiplantae; Streptophyta; Magnoliopsida; Ranunculales; Papaveraceae.
ACAAUUUUCUCAACAUCAUAUUCCAGUUAAUGAUAUCUUCAUGUUUUCUCUCUGCUAAAAUUCUCUUCCCUCUUCUUCCUCGGUUUCAUUCUUCUCGAUAGUAACCUCUUCUUUGUUCUUGAUUUUUAUCACCUUCAUCAAUUCCUCACACUAACAUGAAUUGAUUGAAUUGAUUCUAGUUUGUUUUAGAUUUUUAUCAUCUUCUCAUAACAACAAAUACUCCAAAAGUUCAAAUCAAAACCUAGAACCCAAAAUUUUGAGAGAGUUUGAGAAAAUGGGGUAAACUGAUUGAAUUAAAUUUACAGUCAAUUGGAAACUUACUUCUUCGAUUACAGAAAAGUUGGAAAUCUCAAUUUGGGGUUAGGGUUUCGCAAGUUAUUCUCUCCACUUCAAAGGGCUUCACAAUGCUCAUUGUCUUCUGCUAAAUUGGUACAUACAUGAGGUAAACAAACAAUGUAUAUUGGAUAAUAUGGAUUGAUCUUGGAAAUUGGAUACAAAACUUAUACUGCCCAACAUAAUGGUGCAACAAUCAAUAGUUGCUCAAGAGAAUUUCUCAAUUUUCAAAAUAAUUUGGUGGAAGUGGUUUUCAGUCAUUUCAUUGAGUUAUAAAUUGUUACAAGCUUGAGCCCGAACUGCAGCAGCAAAUGCUAUAUUGCUAUUCGUACAGUGGUCGAUCGUGGUAUAAUAUAUUUGGUUUAUUACUUUUGCUUACUUAUUUGUUAGGGAUAUUAAAUAGAUAUUAAUGCUCCAAGGAGGGAUUAUGAACAUAUCAUUUGUACUUGGAAAUGGGAUUGGAUUGAUAGAUAAUUUUCUUUAAUAGUGGAUUUUUAAUUGGUAA